AUGUGGCAGGGGCGAUUCUAGGGUCAGGGCUUUACGGGGUGCUUUAAUGUCAAACUCUGUGUCACAGAUCUGCCCAUUUGGUUGAGAAAAUAAAUAAAUUGCGUUUCAAUAGGAAGAGGAAGUGAGAUCAAUAAGUGCAAAACAAACUUAAAGAUAUAGGUCAAUUGGCAACCCAGUCUAAGAGACAAUAUUAUUCUAUCCUUUGUCUCUCUUUUUAAACCGAACAGACCCUGCAGCACCCCACCCCCCAUGUUUAAACCUUAUACUUAGUACUACUGUAUUGCGCUAAUGUUUUUGGUCAUCUUAUUAUAGACAAACCCUUAAAAUGUACCUAAAAUGGGCUAGAACCGCCUAUGAUAUUUUGAUAUUUGAUGUUGUAAUACAUUCAUUUAAUAAUUAUUUGUGUAAUUUACAGUCAUGAUUAAUUAAUAUUGUUUAUUUUAUUGACAGCGGGUUCUGGGAAGAGACAGAGGCCGGAGAAUGGGAGUGGGUGUGUUGUUGCUGUUGUGCAUGGCUCCUUACUAAAAGUUAUGAGAAAGACAUCCAAGUUACUAAAAUUAAAGAUUUAAGAAGUUUAUUUUUCAUCAUUUCCACCUGGCUUGCUGCUAGGGUGUCGCCAUUUUGAAGUGACGUAACUGAAUACGUCACAGGGUUGAUUGGAUCCCUCUGAACGCAGUUGGAAAUGGACAAGGAAUCCUAUAUAUCCAAUAUAAAUCUUAUUUGAUAUGCUUUUGAACCAAUACGGCGUUUAAACUGAGCAAUGGUACCACUAAGAGUGGAAAAAGAGGCGAAACUUGGUAAGCUACAGGGUGUCAGUGUAGCCGUUGUUCACUGAUGCCACUGUUUCAGAAUCCGUCUGCUGGGCCAUUUAAUCCGCCGCCUGUCCUGUAUCACCACGGUGCGUACUUUCCACAUUAUAUGCCAGGAGGUGGACGUGUUGGAAGUGGCAGUGCUUUCGCUGAAAGAUGUCCGAGAGGAAACUCUGCAACGCCCCAUUUGUAGCAGGCCUAGAUCAGGUGAUUUCCAGGCUGUCUGGUGGUCAAACGAAGGACCCAUCGUGACCAAAUGGUGGCACUGCAGGCUCACAAAUGCAGACCGUCGUUCCCAUGACCAGGCUGUCGGACUGAUUCCAAUCCAAGGUUCAGAUGGAAACCAAUGUCUGAUGACACAUCUGAGGUACUCUAAAACGACCCGGAGAGAAAGGCAGAGCAAUAGAAGUGUAAAAAAAAAAAAAGAAGAAGAAGAAGAAGAAGGACGAGAUGGGUGUGUAUGUCUGCGAGCUUCCCUCUUGUGUGCUCGCCGGGCGUCCGCGUGCGUGCGCGCGCGCACUUGUGUUUGCAGACGACACACCAUCUGAAGAUGGUGCAGAUGUCCACGCCGUGGCUGGCCUUGCACGCUGUUCGGCAUGCCUCAAAAAGGAGGGAUUUUCCUUCUUUGUUUCAAAUUUCACAGGCGCUCCAAAUGGGCACAGACAUGCCUCCAAAAUAAAUAAAUAAGUGGAUGUAUCAGUGGCCAACAUCUGCAGAUUAUGAUUAGCAUUUGGAAAUUGCGUCCUUGAAUGAGAUUUGGAUGUCGACUGUCAGUCUUCCUUUAUGAGUGCGACUCCUAUUCUGGGGAACUAGAGGGUACUGCUUUGUCCUUAAAUUGGCUACAAUUUGGAGGGAGAAAGAAAUCCUCUUCUCUCUCUUCCCCUCUGCCCGUUAUGAUGUGCCGUCUGAACAAGAAAGAGACACUAUUAAUUGUGUUGAAUAUGAAUAGCUGCAUUUGGUUAAACAGUUUCAAAGGAAAUUGGCCCAAAGGAACUUCUUUCCCUCUUCUUCCCCCUACUGCCUGUCCCUGCUUUUUCUUCUCCCUUUAUCAAGAUUUUUUUUUUUUUCCCUCUCCCUUCCCUCUCUAAUUUUACACUGAGCGCGCUGGCUGCUUUAGCGCGGCUGCAUUAUCUUAUGUAUUCAGCUUUCAGCUCCUCUCCCUCUCCCGAUGAGGCGAGGCUUAAUUGGGCUCCGGCUUUAAAGUCUGUAGAGCUCUCCACUUGCUCAUAGAAACACAUUCAGGGGCUGCUCAUUCA
This is a long non-coding RNA of Mugil cephalus (flathead mullet), 2065 nucleotides long. RefSeq lists it as uncharacterized. The transcript has 3 exons. The record is from RefSeq and is a predicted model, not a curated record. Lineage: Eukaryota; Metazoa; Chordata; Actinopteri; Mugiliformes; Mugilidae.